Molecule: non-coding RNA, 57 nt
Submitted as: unclassified sequences
Source: Rfam
GUCCGUUCAUCCUGAUUAUAGGACGCAUGAAACCUGAUCAUGGAACGGGGGUCAGGU